UUGUUCACGGACUGGCACCUCCCUACCUAGCUGCACCUAAUUAAACCUUACGUCCCGGCCCGGGCUUGUGUUCUCAGGGUGCAGGAUACUUUGUGUCUGUAGGGUGAAUAAAGUCUGCAGAUCAUAGAGCUUUCUCUCAUCGUGCCCCUGUUCUGUGUAAUGAUCU
Thalassophryne amazonica is the source of this 166-nucleotide long non-coding RNA. RefSeq lists it as uncharacterized. Lineage: Eukaryota; Metazoa; Chordata; Actinopteri; Batrachoidiformes; Batrachoididae. The transcript is spliced from 3 exons. The record is from RefSeq and is a predicted model, not a curated record.